UGUUAAGUCCCUGGCAAGUGUACCAGAUGGUUAUCAAGUAAUAUAAAUUGGGUAAGUCCAAGUAUCGUUUCCCAAAGGACUCUUAGGCCUUAACUUUCGUAUAAACCAAUCGCAUAAAACUUGAGAAAAGAAUUAAUUUUAGGUUUUGUAUGCAAAAGUAAACAUGCAAAUGCAGUGAUUCAAUUGGCUAAAAGAAACUAUGGAUGAAUGUUGUUGUUGGCGUUUACAAUUUUAUCUUAUCCACCCUCAUAUAUCUACUCUUCUUAUUUAAUUGGCUUAUUUAUCAUAUUGUCAUGCAAACUUUCUUGGUCUACCCUUAACCCAAUCUCUUGGCAAAAAGAGCCUAUUACUAAUUACCAGCUUGCUAUCUCUAGCCUCCCCUAGUAACUAAUAAUGCAUGAUAAAUGGAAACAAAAUACAAUUGAUC
This 427-nucleotide long non-coding RNA is filed under the name Vigna radiata. RNAcentral's name for it is "long non-coding RNA (VRAD_LNC004720)". The record is from RNAcentral. Lineage: Eukaryota; Viridiplantae; Streptophyta; Magnoliopsida; Fabales; Fabaceae.